CACGUAGGGGGCAAGCGUUGUCCGGAUUUAUUGGGCGUAAAGAGCUCGUAGGCGGCUUAGUAAGUCGGGUGUGAAACCUCCAGGCUCAACCUGGAGACGCCACCCGAUACUGCUGUGGCUAGAGUCCGGUAGGGGAGCGCGGAAUUCCUGGUGUAGCGGUGAAAUGCGCAGAUAUCAGGAGGAACACCAGCGGCGAAGGCGGCUCUCUGGAACGCAACUGACGCUGAGACGCGAAAGCGUGGGGAGCAAACAGG
This 254-nucleotide ribosomal RNA is filed under the name uncultured bacterium. RNAcentral describes it as "partial 16S ribosomal RNA". It matches the Rfam family "Bacterial small subunit ribosomal RNA", at positions 524 to 776 of the family's 1533-position model. The record is from RNAcentral.